GAAGAACUCGAUCCCCCUUCAAUAUUCUCAACUAUAUAUAUAUAAAUUGCUCUCUUCAAGCUUGACUUCGAAGAGCAAUUGAAGAUGAGUCUUUCAGUGGCGCAGGGGUUUACGAAGUCUCUGGCGAUGACUGUGCUAUCUGAGAUCGGAGACAAGACUUUCUUCGCCGCUGCGAUCUUGGCGAUGCGUCAUCCUAGGAGGCUCGUCUUGUCAGGCUGCCUUGGGGCUCUAAUUGUAAUGACCAUUCUGUCUGCCGUUGUUGGUUGGGCUGCUCCCAAUUUGGUGUCCCGCAAAUGGACCCAUCAUAUUACAACACUGUUGUUCUUGGGAUUUGGAGUAUGGUCUUUGUGGGAUGCAUUCCAUGAUGGGGAAGCUGAGGAUUUGGAUGAAGUUGAAGCCCAGCUGGAUGCUGAUCUAAAAGCUAAUGGUGGAGCAACCAAGGAGAAGAAUCAGGAUUCUGAUGAUUUAAAGAAGCAGAGGCAGCCUCUUCUCGCUCAAUUCUUCUCACCCAUCCUUCUGAAGGCAUUUUCAAUUACCUUCUUUGGUGAAUGGGGUGACAAG
This 561-nucleotide unclassified non-coding RNA is filed under the name Hevea brasiliensis (rubber tree). Lineage: Eukaryota; Viridiplantae; Streptophyta; Magnoliopsida; Malpighiales; Euphorbiaceae. The record is from RNAcentral.